Transfer RNA from Felis catus (domestic cat), 85 nucleotides. It matches the Rfam family "tRNA". From Rfam's summary of the family: Transfer RNA (tRNA) molecules are approximately 80 nucleotides in length. Their secondary structure includes four short double-helical elements and three loops (D, anti-codon, and T loops). Further hydrogen bonds mediate the characteristic L-shaped molecular structure. tRNAs have two regions of fundamental functional importance: the anti-codon, which is responsible for specific mRNA codon recognition, and the 3' end, to which the tRNAs corresponding amino acid is attached (by aminoacyl-tRNA synthetases). tRNAs cope with the degeneracy of the genetic code in two manners: having more than one tRNA (with a specific anti-codon) for a particular amino acid; and 'wobble' base-pairing, i.e. permitting non-standard base-pairing at the 3rd anti-codon position. NCBI's taxonomy places the organism in Eukaryota, Metazoa, Chordata, Mammalia, Carnivora, Felidae. The record is from Rfam.
GCCUGGGUGGCUCAGUCGGUUGAGCGUCUGACUUUGGCUCAGGUCAUGAUCUCACACCUCGUGAGUUCGAGCCCCACAUCGGGCU